Molecule: ribosomal RNA, 326 nt
Filed under: uncultured eukaryote
Lineage: Eukaryota
Description: partial 18S ribosomal RNA
Rfam family: Eukaryotic small subunit ribosomal RNA
Source: RNAcentral
CCCUUAGAUGUCCUGGGCCGCACGCGCGCUACACUGAACGGAUCAGCGCGUUUUCCCUUCCCGAGAGGGACGGGUAACCUGCCGAACCCCGUUCGUGGUAGGGAUCGGGGCUUGCAAUUAUUCCCCGUGAACCAGGAAUGCCCAGUAAGUGCAAGUCAUAAGCUUGCGUUGAUUACGUCCCUGCCCUUUGUACACACCGCCCGUCGCUACUACCGAUUGAACGUUUUAGUGAGGUACUCGGACUGAGCCUCAGAAGAUUCACGUCUUUUGUGCUGCUCGGGAAGAUUCCCAAACUUGAGCGUUUAGAGGAAGUAAAAGUCGUAACA